This is a long non-coding RNA of Planococcus citri (citrus mealybug), 2275 nucleotides long. RefSeq lists it as uncharacterized. The transcript has 8 exons. The record is from RefSeq and is a predicted model, not a curated record. Lineage: Eukaryota; Metazoa; Arthropoda; Insecta; Hemiptera; Pseudococcidae.
UUGAAGAAAAUUUUAUGAAAUAAUUAAGUAUAGGCCUAAAUUGAUUAGUUUAGUGUCUUGUUAUAAAAUCAUUAAAAGGAUCUUUAUGAUUUACAUAUUUCCAACUUUAUGAAUGACUUAGGCCUUCUUUUUAAUACAGAGCAUUGAAUACCAUUAUAUAUAUUUAUCACUGCUGUCAACGGUGGAGAUAUGGACGGAAAUCGUCAUCAUGCAGCGUUGAACCACCGAAGAGGUAACAGAAAUACUGGAACUCGGAGACGUGUACCCAGAAGUUUGUAUUCGAAUGGUUUCACUUCUUUGAAUAUAUAUAUAUUUUUUUUACCAAGUAUUAGAAAUUAAUGAAAUAUAAUUAACGUAAGCCAUCAGGAAUGAAUUCCAAUCCAUAUGAUCUUUUUACAUAAUUUUAUUACUUUAAAUAAUAAUUAUAGAAGGAUUGCAAAUCAGUCUAACGUAAAUGUAUAAUGAAAUACGAUCAAAUAAUACCUGCGUUAAUAUUUUCAUAAGAAUUAUUCAUAAUUUUAAUUUUGAAUACCUACACCAUUCAUAAAAUGGAUUGAGAAUUAUUAACGUAAAAAAAGACCUUUAUGACAUGACUUAAUUUUUUAUACCUACAUUUUUAAUCUCGUGUGGUCACCAAUAAUUUAUUUUGAAAUUAUGUAUUUUUAUUCACAUCAGCUGCGUGUAGUAGUUCACAUUUCAUUUUAUUUUGCAUUAUAUGUAAUAAAAUUGAAGGUUUUGCACCCUUUUAAUAAUGACAUUGCAUCUCAAUACCUUAAGAAUGCGCUCAUGAUUCUUCGCUAACACAUCCUGGAAAGAUAAACGAAAUGAGGUCCUGAGGUGCGACAAAAAAGAUCUUGACCAGAAAUCAUAGCAGUGAUAUGAACCACCCAUCAGAUUCAGUCAAUGUGUUCCUAAUAGGAUUUGGCUCAUGACAACGGAGACCCUUUCAGAAAAGUCAGAGCGAUACUAUUUCAAAUAUGCCACAUCUUCGCUUAUUUUUAUUUUAUUUUGCACGUUUUUCUCUUAUUAUUGUCUCAAAAGUAGAUAAACAAUUCUCUUAAAUUCCAUAGAAGUAAAAAAUAACGUGUACUGUGAUUAAAAGUUCAAUUUAAAGAAAGUCUUUUCUCGAUUUAGAAUUUUGUAAUCAGUUUAAAUUUUCCAAAUUUUUUCUUUUUUUCUCUUUCUUUGAAAAUAUUAGAUUUUUAUAGUUUUUCUUUACGAACUCUUAUGUAAUCUUUUAUUUCAAAAUUGAUGUAGGAAUCUAUAUACUUUUUUAAAAAUUUGAGUCAAUCAAGUAAAAAGUAUUACACAAUCUUACCAUGAAAAAUAAUGACGUCAUUUGCUGAUUGAUGGAAAUAAGAAUGAAGAACAGGACAUUUCGAUUAUGCGCAGAAUUAUCAAAGAAGACGGGCAAACAGCAUUUUGAAUGGGAAUUCCAGAUAUGAAACUGGAAGUAGAGCUGAUCACGCCGACAGACGCGACCAACGCGAGUCAAGAGGUGUCGGACACAUUUUGAGUGAGAAUUCUAGACAUGAAGCGCGUAAUGGAAACUAUCAUGAUUAUGGUCAUGGGUCAAGAUAUCAACGCAGAGAUUUAAGUAGAAAUUCUCAAGAUGCAAGCAAUCGCAGUAACAGAAAUACAUCGAGACCUCGGAGAUGCUCGCCAAAUGAAAGAAGAAAAUCGCUUGCGGUUGAAAGAGAAAUUCGAAAUUCUUCGCAGAGAGGUAGUACUUCUUCGAUGAACCUGGAUCAAAAACAAAAACAGACAUUUAAUUCAUCAAAUUAUAACAAUGAUGAUGGGUUAUUCGUGAAUAAUCGAGAAGGUCAAGUCGAAAAUGAAGCACAAAGGGCUGUAAAUAAAGACGGAAAGCCACAGGAAAACAACAGUGCCGUUGGAGGACGUGCACUUAUAUCAAACUCUCCUAUCGCUCCAAGAGAUGAGCAUAAUCGUGGACCGAUGUGGGGAUAUUGGACCUGGCCUCGGCCUCGGCCUCCAUUUGUCAGGAUUGGUCCUUUACGAAUCUUUCCAUGGCCUCCAAUUCAUUUCUUCUUCCCAUAUGGAUAUCGCCCAUUUUUUGGGCCGCGUCUGCUUCCAAUUCGUGGACCGCGCCCUGGAGGUGUACGAAGACAAAAUUAAAAAAAUCAUUGAAAAAUAUAAAUAUUUUAAAGUAAACGUUUUAGUAUAUGGUACUUGGUAUUCGAAUGCAUCGACAAUUAAGCUGUGGACAUAACAUUACAAUAGAAUCAAUUACUAAUAAAAAUUAUCAAACACCUUA